CAGUAGCCGCGGUAAUACAGAGGGUGCGAGCGUUAAUCGGAUUUACUGGGCGUAAAGCGCACGCAGGCGGUCUGUCAAGUCAGAUGUGAAAUCCCCGGGCUUAACCUGGGAACUGCAUUUGAAACUGGCAGGCUAGAGUCUUGUAGAGGGGGGUAGAAUUCCAGGUGUAGCGGUGAAAUGCGUAGAGAUCUGGAGGAAUACCGGUGGCGAAGGCGGCCCCCUGGACAAAGACUGACGCUCAGGUGCGAAAGCGUGGGGAGCAAACAGGAUUAGAUACCCCAGUAGUCCCUGUCUCUUAUAA
RNAcentral lists this ribosomal RNA (301 nucleotides) under uncultured bacterium. RNAcentral describes it as "partial 16S ribosomal RNA". It matches the Rfam family "Bacterial small subunit ribosomal RNA", at positions 509 to 809 of the family's 1533-position model. The record is from RNAcentral.